UACGAAGGGGGCUAGCGUUGUUCGGAAUUACUGGGCGUAAAGCGCGCGUAGGCGGACUGACAAGUCGGGGGUGAAAUCCCGAGGCUCAACCUCGGAACUGCCUUCGAUACUGGCGAUCUUGAGUCCGGAAGAGGUGAGUGGAACUCCUAGUGUAGAGGUGGAAUUCGUAGAUAUUAGGAAGAACACCAGUGGCGAAGGCGGCUCACUGGUCCGGUACUGACGCUGAGGGGCGAAAGCGUGGGGAGCAAACAGG
This 253-nucleotide ribosomal RNA is filed under the name uncultured bacterium. RNAcentral's name for it is "partial 16S ribosomal RNA". It matches the Rfam family "Bacterial small subunit ribosomal RNA", at positions 524 to 776 of the family's 1533-position model. The record is from RNAcentral.